AAAGUAGGGGGCAACCCCUGCGAGUAGAGUGGCGAACGGGUGAGUAAUACAUCGGAACGUACCCAGUAGCGGGGGAUAACCUCUCGAAAGAGAGGCUAAUACCGCAUACGACCUACGGGUGAAAGAGGGGGAUUCGCAAGAACCUCUCACUAUUGGAGCGGCCGAUGUCGGAUUAGCUAGUUGGCGGGGUAAAAGCCCACCAAGGCGACGAUCCGUAGCUGGUCUGAGAGGACGACCAGCCACACUGGAACUGAGACACGGUCCAGACUCCUACGGGAGGCAGCAGUGGGGAAUUUUGGACAAUGGGCGCAAGCCUGAUCCAGCCAUGCCGCGUGAGUGAAGAAGGCCUUCGGGUUGUAAAGCUCUUUCGGCGGAGACGAAAAGGUCCGUGUUAAUACCUCGGAUCCAUGACGGUACCCGCAGAAGAAGCACCGGCUAACUAUGUGCCAGCAGCCGCGGUAAUACGUAGGGUGCAGGCGUUAAUCGGAAUUACUGGGCGUAAAGCGUGCGCAGGCGGUCUUUUAAGUCAGAUGUGAAAUCCCCGGGCUUAACCUGGGAACUGCGUUUGAAACUGAAAGGCUAGAGUGUGGCAGAGGGGGGUGGAAUUCCACGUGUAGCAGUGAAAUGCGUAGAGAUGUGGAGGAACACCGAUGGCGAAGGCAGCCCCCUGGGCUAACACUGACGCUCAUGCACGAAAGCGUGGGGAGCAAACAGGAUUAGAUACCCUGGUAGUCCACGCCCUAAACUAUGUCAACUGGUUGUCGGGGAAGCAAUUCCUUGGUAACGAAGCUAACGCGUGAAGUUGACCGCCUGGGGAGUAC
RNAcentral lists this ribosomal RNA (821 nucleotides) under uncultured beta proteobacterium. RNAcentral's name for it is "bacterial SSU rRNA". It matches the Rfam family "Bacterial small subunit ribosomal RNA", at positions 69 to 883 of the family's 1533-position model. The record is from RNAcentral. Lineage: Bacteria; Pseudomonadati; Pseudomonadota; Betaproteobacteria.